This 1786-nucleotide long non-coding RNA is filed under the name Panax ginseng (ginseng). RNAcentral describes it as "long non-coding RNA (PGIN_LNC011624)". Lineage: Eukaryota; Viridiplantae; Streptophyta; Magnoliopsida; Apiales; Araliaceae. The record is from RNAcentral.
AAUAUCUUAUCUGGCUAAAUGCUAAUUGACGGACGGUAGUGGCUAUUUUUUUUCCUAGAUCUAGAUCUGAGUCUUGAGAGCAGAGAGUCUAAGAGUGAGUAAGAGAGUUCGAUAGUUCGAUUGUGAUUUGUGAAGACGACGACGAUGACUGUGAAGCACUGAAGCUUCUUCUCUUCGUCCCGAAUCCACGCCGAGUCGCCAACUGUGAACUGUGAAGCUUCUUCUUCUCUUCGAUAGUUAGAUACUUCGAUCGAUCGACCUCGACGACUGAGAAGGUUUGAUUUUUUCUUUUAUAUGAUUUUUCAUUUUUUCUGGUCAUUAUAUAAUAUAUCUCAAUGUGUCAUUUUUUCCUUUAUAUUUUUCAUUUUUUUUGAAAGAAAAAAAAAAUAAUGUUUGAGUUUGAUACUGUAUUUAGAUGCUAAAACUGUAGAAAAACUCUUGUUAAGAAGAAAAGAAUGGACAUGGAGAAUCUGGGAAGAGAAUCCACAUCCCUUUCUUGCAUGUUCGAAAGAUGGGUUUUUUGUGGGUGAUACUGAAUUUAUCAGGGCAGCCAUGAAUGUAGGUAGUAAUUUUUAUAGGUUUAUGUAGCUUAAAUCCAAAAUUUUUGACCUACUUUUCACUUGCAGAAAAUGAGAAACCCAAAAAUUAAGAUUGUGAAAUUCUACCAAGUAAGAAAAUGAAUUAUAUAAUGCUAUGGAGAGAGAUAUUGACUGGGUAUGAAAACUUUUUAACUUGAUUAAAAUUCGCACAAUCAGAUUUUUAGUAUUUAUAUACUACAUAUGUUACUGAUGAAGAAUUGAAAAGUUGAGACAGAGAAGAAGAAUGAACAUACACUGGGGAUUUCAAUUGAUAUAUUUAUAUACUACAUAUGUGAUGUCUUGCUCUUGCAAAAUGGCAGAUAUAACAGAUGAAGGAAUUUCAUGUAAGCAUUUACAAAUUUCACUUAUUAUUUGGACUUAUGUUUUGUUAUGUUUUCCUUAUUGUGAUAUAUUUCAAUAUCGACAGCAAUCAGAGAAUAAGACUUUUUCUGCAUUUUUGGUCUCCCAAUUUUCAAAGUCACAAAAUUUAGUUAAAAUGCAAAAGAUAAUCUCCAGAAAAAGUGUUAUAUUACUGAGAAUUCAAUUCAUGUUUGGUAGAGAGACUCAAAAUCUUAUUUCUGGUAGCUUUUUCUUAAGAUUAAUAGUUGAAAAAGCAUUACAUUUUAUGUCUAUGAUGAUAAACAGGCUGGUCCACGAAUUUGCCUGGGGAAGGAAUUUGCUAAUUAUAUUCGAAUCAAUUAUGAUCUUAGCUGUUGAUUAUGAUAAAUAGCAAGAGUUUUCUCUAUUUUACUCAACUGAUUGAACAGCUUUUGAAGAACUUCCUUGCAAGGUGCCCUAAAAGAAAUUCAUUCAAUCAUUCACAUUUCACAAGUUGUACUGAUGCAGUUUUAAGCUUUUGUUAUCUUAUGUUAGUUCCUAGGAUUGCAAUUAUGCAUUAUGCAAAGAUGAUACUUGUUGUCUUGUUGAGUUGUUGUCUUGUUGUCUGUUGAUGAGAUUCUGUUGCUGUAUAGUGCAGAUGGUAAUUCUGUUGCUGCAGAUGGGAUUGCAAUUUGCAAGUAUGCAUUUGGAUGGUGACAUGUCAACAGUCAAAUGAAAUGAAUAGUUUUUGUUUGAAUUUUUCAUUCUGUAUUUGGAUUUUGGAGCUUCUUUCUGUAAUUCUGUGAUUUGUAUUAUUGUAUGUAAAUUAUAAUAUGUUACUGUUACAGCAACUUAGAUUGUGUUUUUUUGUGAUUUACAGAUUUUUUUUU